UACGUAGGGGGCAAGCGUUGUCCGGAAUCAUUGGGCGUAAAGAGCGCGUAGGCGGCCCUGUAAGUCCGCUGUGAAAGUCGGGGGCUCAACCCUCGGAUGCCGGUGGAUACUGUCGGGCUUGAGUACGGAAGAGGCGAGUGGAAUUCCUGGUGUAGCGGUGAAAUGCGCAGAUAUCAGGAGGAACACCAAUUGCGAAGGCAGCUCGCUGGGACGUUACUGACGCUGAGACGCGAAAGCGUGGGGAGCAAACAGG
RNAcentral lists this ribosomal RNA (253 nucleotides) under uncultured bacterium. RNAcentral's name for it is "partial 16S ribosomal RNA". It matches the Rfam family "Bacterial small subunit ribosomal RNA", at positions 524 to 776 of the family's 1533-position model. The record is from RNAcentral.